AGGGUUUGAUUAUGGCUCAGAACGUACGCUGGCGGCACGCCUAACACAUGCAAGUCGAACGCAGUAGCAAUACUGAGUGGCAAACGGGUGAGUAACAUGUAGGUAUCUGCCCUUUGGCCUGGAAUAACACGAGGAAACUUGUGCUAAUACCGGAUAAGUCUUUACGGAGAAAGCUUUAUGCACCAUUGGAUGAGCCUGCACUUGAUUAGUUUGUUGGUGGGGUAAUGGCCUACCAAGACUGUGAUCAAUAGCUGAUUUGAGAGGAUGAUCAGCCACAUUGGGACUGAGACACGGCCCAAACUCCUACGGGAGGCAGCAGUGGGGAAUCUUGCACAAUGGAGGAAACUCUGAUGCAGCGAUGCCGCGUGAGUGAAGAAGGCCCUUGGGUUGUAAAGCUCUUUCGUCGGGGAAGAAAAUGACUGUACCCGAAUAAGAAGGUCCGGCUAACUUCGUGCCAGCCGCCGCGGUAAUUC
Molecule: ribosomal RNA, 473 nt
Filed under: uncultured bacterium
Lineage: Bacteria
Description: bacterial SSU rRNA
Rfam family: Bacterial small subunit ribosomal RNA
Source: RNAcentral